RNAcentral lists this non-coding RNA (90 nucleotides) under bovine gut metagenome. RNAcentral describes it as "THF riboswitch". It matches the Rfam family "THF (Tetrahydrofolate) riboswitch aptamer". Rfam says of the family: THF riboswitch presents a pseudoknot that joins P1-P2 and the loop of P3 and two THF binding. RNAcentral also lists the same sequence under 1 other name. The record is from RNAcentral.
GAGUAGAAUUUAAGCGUCAAGUGCAUAGAGAUGGGAGGUCGCUCUAUGACGAAGGAAAGUUUCUUUCCGCGGUUUAAAUUCGCAGCCGCU